This 5219-nucleotide long non-coding RNA is filed under the name Nicotiana benthamiana. RNAcentral's name for it is "long non-coding RNA (NBEN_LNC003136)". The record is from RNAcentral. Lineage: Eukaryota; Viridiplantae; Streptophyta; Magnoliopsida; Solanales; Solanaceae.
CCCACCAAUAAAUCAAAACGAUGUCAUUUCCUUGAGCUUAACCUCAACCGUUGAUCCCGUAUGAUUAGAAGGCCAGGAACUAGCGUCCCUUUAAUAUGAAACUGUCAAAAGGCCUAACCCUCCCCCCUCUCACUCGUCUCUUUCACCCUCUUCUUUUUCGGAGACUCCUAACAAAAAUCCUAGAAGCUACCUUAUCUCCCUACCGUCUCAGGCAGGCGGCGGCGGUCCCAAACGACCCCAAAAUAACACCCCCGUAACCACCAAGAGCCCCUCAUUCAAAAUCGCCACUCUGUUUGCUUCGAAUCUCCCCGGAACCUCUCGAAUUUUAGAUCAAAAAUAAACCCUAAAAACUCCAAAAGCAUCCAAAUCAAAUUUUUGUUGAAGAUUUAGGUCUAAUUUGGUUUUAUUCAUUUGUUCAUUAUAAAAACACACGAUUAAUAUCAUAUUUAGCCAAAAAUAGGAGGGUUUGAAGACUCAAGCUCCAUUCCUCACUGUUCGAACUUUAGUAAGCUUUUCUUUUCUUUUUCUCCUUGGUUUAAUCUUUUCUUCACUCUUCUUUUUUAUUUUUCUGCUUCUUCUCAUCUUCGUGAUUCCUGUCUAUGUUUUCUAGUUUCUCAAGGGACAUUUUUCUAUGCAUGUUAGUUUUAAAUAAAUUUUCUUUAGUUAAUGCAUUUAAUCUAUUAAUUAGUUUAGUAUAAAUUUUUUAAUUUAGUUAAUUAGUCAAUACGUCGUUUAGUCUAUAUUUUUUUAUUUUUUUAAUCCAUUUCAAUAUUCAUGUUAUCAUGUGCUUACAGAUUUUUUAAUUAGAUAAGUGUAUCGUUUGGGAUAUGGGCUGUCUCUCAUUCAUUUGUCAAAGAGUAGCCCGUCCAAAUUUGUUUUGUUAUUGGGUCAAUUGUGACGCAUUGUUGGUCAGGUUUUUCAGAAGUAAUUAAUAGGUCUUAUAGGGGUAAAUUUGGAAUUGUAGGUAAGGGAAUCAUUUGUAACAGCCUAAGGAUACUUCUAGGAAGGUGGGUGUUCAGACUAAUGUGGAAGUUGAUUUUUAAAUCUAAAAUUUUCUAAGCUAAAAUGAAAAUAUCAAAGUGCAAAGUGCAAAUCUGAUUUCUUUUAGGUACCCUAAUAGCUUCCUUAUAGAGCAUGAUUACUUGGUAUUCUACUUACAGUUUUUAGAGAUAAAGAAAAGACUAAAGAAAACGAGAAGAUAUUGAAAGGGGUGUGAAAAUAUGAUAAAAUCACCGUCCCGUUGAAGUUCUUCUUUAAUUCUUGAGGUUUUCAAUUUCUGAAGUUAUCUAUGAUUUAUCUAGGGUUUGAAAAUUGUUUAAAAAAAAGUUGAGGUCACAGUCGAUUAAUUGCUGGUUGGGUUUGCUAUGUUGCUUGAUUCUCUCAUCUCUUUCUUCCUUUGAUUUCAGCAUCAAUUUACUUCUUGGUUCUCUGAAUAUAUGAGAUGCAAGUUUGGAGUAUUAUAAUUGAUUGAAGAUUUCAGAAAUAAAUGUUAUCCCCUUGCUAUGGAAUGUUAGCUAUGUAUUUUAGGAUUCUCAAGUAGUGUAAUAUAAUUAUGAUUUAUCGUUUCAUUCGUAUCCUUCAGGUUGCAUUGUAUCUUAUGGUGGGAUAUGAAAUCUGUUAAUCUGUCGAGUUAGAGGUAUUUGCAUAGAGAAUACCUCAUGUGGGAUUGUUGUUCACCUGUGUGUAGUUUAUAAGUUGCCCAUAAUUAGGAUAAUAUGCAUAAGUAGAAUAAUAUAAGUGUUGUUAAUUCGAUAUGUGGGUUGUGCGGGGGUUUUUUCUGAAAGUGUUGCCUAUGGUUAUGAUUGAGUGUUCAUUAGUAUAGUCAUUUAUUUUUUAGGCAUCUGAUUUAGGAGACAUGUCCCCCGAUCAAUUAGAAUAGUUAUUAUAUUUGUCAAUUUUCUCAUGGUUCGUAGAAUAGCUCAAUUGUAUCAUUUUGAAGUUCAUCCUUCCUUUUCUUGUGUCCCUGUCAUGUGAACAUAUAAAGACUGUCAAAGGAUAUUAGGAGUUUGAUUUUAGAAUUAGUAAUUUUCAUUAUUGAGUUUCAGCUCUUCUGUAUCUUGUUUUCUGUAGAGGUAAUUUGAAAUCCAUGUUUUGUUCAAAGUUGGGGGUGAAAUGCUAAUUAGUGGAUAAUUUGUGUAAGGGUAUAAUGUUGCAUAGGGACGGUAUCUUCGCUUCAAAAUCUAUGUUAGCCUUAAAAUUUUCUUUGCAUUUGAAUUAAAGAUUAUCAAUAUUUACUCAAUGCUUGAUUUUCUUGAGUGAUACAUUUUGCUUCAAGUGUGUUUGCUGAAUCAUGUUUUGGGCUAUCAUCAUUAGCCCAAUUGCUAGUAUGUUAACAAUAAAUUGGAGGUUUAGCUAGCUAAAUUUGUGCUUGAAUAGUUAAAAAUAAGAAAUAAAAUCAUUAAUUCAGUGGUAUAUUUUGAUUAGAUCUGCAUUUUGUUGAUAUUAUGUUGACGAUUGAUUUUUCUGAAAUUUGGGAUUAAGUUGCCCCAGCAAAAGAACACCCCCUUCAGACUCGUUUGCAUGUUCUGUGUUAUUAAUGUCUGCUAAUUUGAGAAUUGCGAUCAUCUUGAACCCAAACCAGAAAAUAUGGGCAAAUGAAAUUGUAUACUCUUGUAUUUUUGUGCUAGCCUUUUUAACUUCGCUUCUGAAUGGUAUUAAUGGCUUCAAAUAUUUCUCUUCUUUUUAAGUAAUCAGCAAUGUUACUCUUUGAAACGUUUUCCUCUUUUAAUUAGUUUUGACAUUAUCUUAAAGUAGAAUUUAAUUUCCUUUAAUGUUUAAUUAAUUACAUCCUUCGAAUUAGUUAAGGUGUUUCAUAUUAUGUAAAAUAUAGCUUAUGGCCCUUAAAAUUUAGUUUGAACUUCCUUUUAAAAUUGGAACCAAGGUAUGCGGUGCCAAAUAAAAUCUCAAAAUGUAUGUCCCUGAUUUUACUUAGUAUUUGAAUACUUUAGAAUUCCAGGUGUGCUAUUAGUAAAUUUUCCAUGACCCUCACAAAUUAAGAAUGUGCAAUUACUUUAGGCAUGUUAUUUUUAAAAUUACCUUUCUAAACUCGGGUGCGCGUUGAUGUGACUCAAAUUCAAAUCUGAGUAAUGUACAUAAAAUGUGUUGUGGACUGCGAGUGCAUUUAAGUGACGUUGUUCAAAAACCAUUUUUUGUGACGUUGAAAUCUUUCUAAAAAGUAAUUAAAUAAAAGUGGUUAUAAGUUAAAAUUGAACCAUAGGCUAAAACAUGUAUUUAAAUCCAGAUAAUAGGCUAGUUAUAAUAGUUGAGCGACCAUGCUAGAACCACGAAACUCAGGGAUGCCUAACACCUUUUCCUGGAUUAACAGAAUUCCUUACCGGGAUUUUUGUGUUCGCGGACAAUAAAACAGAGUCAAUGUUUCCUCGAUUUCGGAUUUGAACUGGUGACUUGGGAAACCAUACAAUUAUCCCAUGUGGCAACUCUGAACAAUAAAUAAAUUAUCCCGUUUCGAUUGUCAAUUAAACUAGAAAAAAAACUCCCUUAUCUCAACCUACCGGGGAGUAGGUAAAGGAGGUGUGACAUCAUGAGAGCAUGAGGAUUUCGAAAAUAUAAAUUUUACCUAAUUCCGAGAUGUGGGCAUGGGGGAUGGUUUGGUUAUUUUACCUAAUUUCAUGCAUUAGCUUAGAAUUUUAAUUAUAGAAUAAGUUCUUGAAGUGUUAUUUAUAUUAUGAAAUUGAAUUAAAUAGAUUCGGGUCAUUUGGAGUCGAGUACUCGUUGCAAGAACAUGGUCUCGAGUUGACUUGCACUUGUUCGAGGUAAGUGGCUUGUCUAACCAUGUGUGAGGGACUUCUUCCUUAGGAUUUGAUGUAAUUGUUGAUUGAAAUGCCUUAUACUAAGGUGACGAGUGCGUACUUGUGCAAAUUAUUGGAAAUCCGAUUUUCUUUAAGUAUUUAUUAGUAUGUUUCUUCUCCUGCUUUUAUUACAUAUACUAUUAAGCCAGUGUUUAUCUUAGGAAAGCAUGAAUAAGCGAUUUAGUGGCUUUGAUUGUUUAAUCUGUUUACCUAAACUCUGUGAGGCAUGCUAGGCGAGAGUUAUUUGUUUCCUUAAUAUGGAAGUUUCCUUAUUUGAAUAUUUUCUUGUUGCUAAUGCAUAUAUACAUUGGGACUACAGAUGUAGGAUUUCGGUAGCUUCUCUUGUCUGUUUACUUUGGGACUAUGGAUUAGAUUCUCGAUAGAUCCCUCUGCACAUUUGUUUUGGUACUAUGGGUUAGAUUCUUGAAAGAUCCCCCUACACAGUGAUAUAGAACUACGGGAAUGUACCCGGUAGAUUCCCCUGGUACUAGGUUUUACAUUUGGGACAAUGAACCGGGAUUUCGGUACCGCACAUUGAUAGCUGGACUACGGAAUGGUAUCCCGGGAGAUCCUUCGGAUAUAUACAUAUGAUGGACUACAUGACGGUAUCCACGGAGAUCCAUUUGACAGUUGAUGAAAGGGACUAUAGGACGGUUCCUGGGAGAUCCUUGUGUUACUAUUGGUAUUGAGAUGUUCUGAUUUCUGGUUUUACUAUGUUAUUUGCAUAAUUUUUAUUGCCUGGUGUAACCUGUCUUAUUUCAUUUCUUUUUGUAUUUUAUAUUGUUCAUUUCAUAUUGUUGAAACUUAUUAUUAUGUUUAACCUCAGUAGGGCCCUGACCUUCCUCUUCACUACCCGACCGAGGUUUAUAUAGAACUAUAGAAAUGCACCCGGUAGAUUCCCAUAGUACUGGGUAUUUAUAUUUGGGGAAUACGAAUCGGGAUUCAUGUAUAUCGUUCGUGCACUGAUAGUUGGACUACGAGACGGGAUCCCGGGAGUUCCUUCGGAGAUAUAUGAUGGAAUAUGAGAUGGUAUCCCAAGAGAUCCACUGGAUAAUCGUAAUUGGGACUACAUGAUGGUAUCGUAGAAGAUGUAUUGUUGUUAUCUUUAUGUUGAGCUGUAUUUCUUUCCCGUGAUUUAUUUUGUCUCUGUUCUAGUUGUUGUUCUUUCAAUCCUAUGUUACUUCUUGUUGUUGCACAUAUUUCAACUAUUUUACUUCACACUGUUAUCAUUUAUAUUUUGUUUAAUCAUAGUAUGUCCUUGACCUUCCUCGUCACUAUCCGACCGAGGUUAGGCUUUGCACUUACUUAGUGUCGUUGUGGUGUACUCAUGCCCUUUUUGCGCAUGUUUUUCAUGUACAGAUCCAGGUACAUCUAAUUAGACUUACCAUUCUUGAGGCAAGGCAAUUCUAC